Molecule: transfer RNA, 69 nt
Filed under: Marmota marmota marmota (Alpine marmot)
Lineage: Eukaryota; Metazoa; Chordata; Mammalia; Rodentia; Sciuridae
Also listed under: 2 other names
Rfam family: tRNA
About the family: Transfer RNA (tRNA) molecules are approximately 80 nucleotides in length. Their secondary structure includes four short double-helical elements and three loops (D, anti-codon, and T loops).
Source: Rfam by way of RNAcentral
GGAGCUGUGGCUCAGUGGUAGAGCACUUGCCUGGCAUUCAUGAGGUCUUGGGUUCGAACCUCAGCACCA